RNAcentral lists this non-coding RNA (30 nucleotides) under Rattus norvegicus (Norway rat). Lineage: Eukaryota; Metazoa; Chordata; Mammalia; Rodentia; Muridae. The record is from RNAcentral.
UGACAAGCAUCAAGAACCUUGAGAUUUGUU